AUCAGGUAGGGACACCCGCUGAACUUAAGCAUAUCAAUAAGCGGAGGAAAAGAAAAUAACAAUGAUUCCCCUAGUAACUGCAAGUGAAGAGGGACAAGCUCAAAUUUUAAAUCUGUUAGGUAUCACCUGGCCGAGUUGUGAUUUGAAGAAGCGUUUUCUGCGUCCUUGGUCAGCCUAAGUCCUAUUGAAUGAGGCAUCAUGGAGGGUGAUAAUCCCGUCCGGUUGAUCAAUGCGUUUUACGAUACGCUCUCAAAGAGUCAAGUUGUUUGGGAUUGCAGCUUAAAAUGGGAGGUAAAUUUCUCCUAAGGCUAAAUAUUGGCGAGAGACCGAUAGCGAACAAGUACCGUGAGGGAAAGAUGAAAAGAACUUUGAAAAGAGAGUAAAAUAGUGCGUGAAAUUGUUGGAAGGGAAACGAUUGAAGUCAGUCGUACCGACGGACAAUCAGCCUUUUGAGUGCGAAUCUGUGGCUCAUGAGGAGGAAACCCUCAUGUUUUGCAUAUUUGUGCUCUUUGGGUGUAUUUGUUCGUAUGGUGGGUUAACAUCAAUUUUGGUCGUCAUAAAAUGACGGGAGGAAAGUAGCUUUGGUCUCGUAUUGAAGUGUUAUAGCCUCUGGUAGAUGUGACGACCGGGAUUGAGGAUUGCAACGGAUACCCUUUUGGGCUACUCGCCUGAUCUCUGAUCGUUACUCUGGUGCCGAAAGCUUGCUUAUGUCAUCAAAGUUGAUGGUCAAAAGGUUAGAACGGGUUAAAUUCGUUAAGGAUGUUGACGUAAUGGCUUUAAACGACCCGUCUUGAAACACGGACCAAGGAGUCUAACAUAUAUGCGAGUGUU
This 831-nucleotide ribosomal RNA is filed under the name uncultured Glomeraceae. RNAcentral describes it as "eukaryotic LSU rRNA". It matches the Rfam family "Eukaryotic large subunit ribosomal RNA", at positions 10 to 694 of the family's 3401-position model. The record is from RNAcentral. Lineage: Eukaryota; Fungi; Glomeromycota; Glomeromycetes; Glomerales; Glomeraceae.